Quercus lobata is the source of this 164-nucleotide long non-coding RNA. RefSeq lists it as uncharacterized. NCBI's taxonomy places the organism in Eukaryota, Viridiplantae, Streptophyta, Magnoliopsida, Fagales, Fagaceae. The transcript has 2 exons. The record is from RefSeq and is a predicted model, not a curated record.
AGGAGUCCGUAGGGCGCCGGUUAGAGUGGCACGCCAUUGCGGCUGCUCAAAUGGCCCACAUUGUGGCUGCUCGGGCACGGGAGCUUGCUGAGGAGAGCGAGCGCGAGAAGGAGGCGCGCGAGGCGGCGGUGAAAACGGCUAAGGAAAAACUGAAGGCCGCCGAG